UACGUAGGUGGCAAGCGUUGUCCGGAUUUACUGGGCGUAAAGGGCUUGUAGGCGGUUCGUUAAGUCCGGUGUGAAAUCUCCCGGCUCAACUGGGAGUGGUCACUGGAUACUGGCGAACUAGAGGGGGGUAGAGGAGAGCAGAAUUCCUGGUGUAGCGGUGAAAUGCGUAGAUAUCAGGAGGAAUACCAGUGGCGAAGGCGGCUCUCUGGGCCUACCCUGACGCUGAGGAGCGAAAGCGUGGGGAGCAAACCGG
Molecule: ribosomal RNA, 253 nt
Filed under: uncultured bacterium
Lineage: Bacteria
Description: partial 16S ribosomal RNA
Rfam family: Bacterial small subunit ribosomal RNA
Source: RNAcentral